UACGGGGGGGGCAAGCGUUGUUCGGAAUUACUGGGCGUAAAGGGUUCGUAGGUGGCUUGCUAAGUCAGACGUGAAAUCCCUCAGCUUAACUGGGGAACUGCGUCUGAGACUGGUGAGCUUGAGUGCAGGAGAGGAACGCGGAAUUCCAGGUGUAGCGGUGAAAUGCGUAGAUAUGCGGAGGAACACCGAUGGCGAAGGCAAUCCCCUGGACCUGUACUGACGCUCAUGCACGAAAGCGUGGGGAGCAAACAGG
This 253-nucleotide ribosomal RNA is filed under the name uncultured bacterium. RNAcentral describes it as "partial 16S ribosomal RNA". It matches the Rfam family "Bacterial small subunit ribosomal RNA", at positions 524 to 776 of the family's 1533-position model. The record is from RNAcentral.